RNAcentral lists this unclassified non-coding RNA (264 nucleotides) under uncultured Russula. RNAcentral describes it as "sequence contains ITS2". Lineage: Eukaryota; Fungi; Basidiomycota; Agaricomycetes; Russulales; Russulaceae. The record is from RNAcentral.
AAUCAUCAAAACCUUUUCCUUUGAUCCUCUUUUGGUCGGGAAAAGGAUUUUUGGACUUGGAGGUUCUAUGCUCGCUUUUGAAAGCGAGCUCCUCUCAAAUGAAUUAGUGGGGUCUGCUUUGCUGAUCCUUGACGUGAUAAGAUGUUUCUACGUUUUGGAUUUGGCACUGUCCCUUGGACGCCUGCUCCUAACCGUCUGUUGGACGACGAUGGUGCUUCGGUCACUGCCAUCUACAUUGGCGGGAGGCUGGACCCACAAAAAAGA